UACAGAGACUGCAAGCGUUAUUCGGAUUCACUGGGCGUAAAGGGUGCGCAGGCGGCCGAGUGUGUGAGGCGUGAAAGCCCGGGGCUUAACCCCGGAAUUGCACCUCAAACUACACGGCUAGAGCAUUGGAGAGGGUAGCAGAAUUCAUGGUGUAGCAGUGAAAUGCGUAGAUAUCAUGAGGAAUACCAGAGGCGAAGGCGGCUACCUGGACAGUUACUGACACUGAGGCUCGAAGGCCAGGGGAGCAAACGGG
This 253-nucleotide ribosomal RNA is filed under the name uncultured bacterium. Its description in RNAcentral is "partial 16S ribosomal RNA". It matches the Rfam family "Bacterial small subunit ribosomal RNA", at positions 524 to 776 of the family's 1533-position model. The record is from RNAcentral.